GAUCACGCGGUAAUCUUGCAUGGCGACUACUACGGAGUAUGGGGACAAGGGAGUGACUUCUGGAAAAUGUGGAUUUAAACGUUUAUUUUUACCACAGUUCACACAUUUUAUAGCCCGUACCGAUCGCCGUUGGGAUUCAGAUGAAGCUGGAUUUCUUUCAGAGGAAGUUCUGGACCGCUAGUAGACAGUGUGCUGCUCUGGAUGGGAAGUGCACCAUUAGCUGUGAUAAUGAGGACAUUAAGUGUUACCUUAUAGACAACAACGGAUUUAUUCUGGU
This is a non-coding RNA of Salmo salar (Atlantic salmon), 277 nucleotides long. The record is from RefSeq and is a predicted model, not a curated record. Lineage: Eukaryota; Metazoa; Chordata; Actinopteri; Salmoniformes; Salmonidae.